RNAcentral lists this ribosomal RNA (441 nucleotides) under Dicranoloma assimile. Its description in RNAcentral is "bacterial LSU rRNA". Lineage: Eukaryota; Viridiplantae; Streptophyta; Bryopsida; Dicranales; Dicranaceae. The record is from RNAcentral.
AAUUCAGGGGGUAGUCUUCCCUGAUCAGAGGUCUGAUGCGUGACGUUACACCUCGGGACACUCGCCCCUCCCUCCGAGCGCCGAGCGCAAGGCAAUUUGCGGGGGAGUCCGGGACCUGCUUCGGAAUCCUCGUUACCCAACUGGGAGACACAGCACCACACUUAGAAGUUUCCAAGACGCGGGGCACACCUGAUCGCGGGCUGUGUCACCACGGCGGCCGAAUUCCCUCCAAUCUCAGCCAACCCAAUCCGCCACCCCACCCAAGGCACACGAAGUCCCGGGUGGCGUGGCGCCCAUCCGGAUGGCCAGUUUCACUCAGUCGCGCUCCCAGCUAGCCGGGAGCGGAUUGGUGGGUGUCGCGGUGACGCUCUGGCAGGGAUGCCCUUGGUCAAGCCUCGGGCGCAACUUGCGUUCAAAGACUCGAUGAUUCGCGGAAUUCUG